AGAUGGCGACCGGCGCACGGGUGAGUAACACGUAUCCAACCUGCCGAUAACUCGGGGAUAGCCUUUCGAAAGAAGGAUUAAUACCCGAUGGUAUAAUCAGACCGCAUGGUUUGAUUAUUAAAGAAUUUCGGUUAUCGAUGGGGAUGCGUUCCAUUAGGCAGUUGGUGAGGUAACGGCUCACCAAACCUUCGAUGGAUAGGGGUUCUGAGAGGAAGGUCCCCCACAUUGGAACUGAGACACGGUCCAA
RNAcentral lists this ribosomal RNA (247 nucleotides) under uncultured bacterium. Its description in RNAcentral is "partial 16S ribosomal RNA". It matches the Rfam family "Bacterial small subunit ribosomal RNA", at positions 86 to 334 of the family's 1533-position model. The record is from RNAcentral.